RNAcentral lists this ribosomal RNA (2358 nucleotides) under Escherichia coli. RNAcentral's name for it is "partial 23S ribosomal RNA". It matches the Rfam family "Bacterial large subunit ribosomal RNA", at positions 588 to 2925 of the family's 2925-position model. The record is from RNAcentral. Lineage: Bacteria; Pseudomonadati; Pseudomonadota; Gammaproteobacteria; Enterobacterales; Enterobacteriaceae.
GGCGUGUGACUGCGUACCUUUUGUAUAAUGGGUCAGCGACUUAUAUUCUGUAGCAAGGUUAACCGAAUAGGGGAGCCGAAGGGAAACCGAGUCUUAACUGGGCGUUAAGUUGCAGGGUAUAGACCCGAAACCCGGUGAUCUAGCCAUGGGCAGGUUGAAGGUUGGGUAACACUAACUGGAGGACCGAACCGACUAAUGUUGAAAAAUUAGCGGAUGACUUGUGGCUGGGGGUGAAAGGCCAAUCAAACCGGGAGAUAGCUGGUUCUCCCCGAAAGCUAUUUAGGUAGCGCCUCGUGAAUUCAUCUCCGGGGGUAGAGCACUGUUUCGGCAAGGGGGUCAUCCCGACUUACCAACCCGAUGCAAACUGCGAAUACCGGAGAAUGUUAUCACGGGAGACACACGGCGGGUGCUAACGUCCGUCGUGAAGAGGGAAACAACCCAGACCGCCAGCUAAGGUCCCAAAGUCAUGGUUAAGUGGGAAACGAUGUGGGAAGGCCCAGACAGCCAGGAUGUUGGCUUAGAAGCAGCCAUCAUUUAAAGAAAGCGUAAUAGCUCACUGGUCGAGUCGGCCUGCGCGGAAGAUGUAACGGGGCUAAACCAUGCACCGAAGCUGCGGCAGCGACACUGUGUGUUGUUGGGUAGGGGAGCGUUCUGUAAGCCUGUGAAGGUGUACUGUGAGGUAUGCUGGAGGUAUCAGAAGUGCGAAUGCUGACAUAAGUAACGAUAAAGCGGGUGAAAAGCCCGCUCGCCGGAAGACCAAGGGUUCCUGUCCAACGUUAAUCGGGGCAGGGUGAGUCGACCCCUAAGGCGAGGCCGAAAGGCGUAGUCGAUGGGAAACAGGUUAAUAUUCCUGUACUUGGUGUUACUGCGAAGGGGGGACGGAGAAGGCUAUGUUGGCCGGGCGACGGUUGUCCCGGUUUAAGCGUGUAGGCUGGUUUUCCAGGCAAAUCCGGAAAAUCAAGGCUGAGGCGUGAUGACGAGGCACUACGGUGCUGAAGCAACAAAUGCCCUGCUUCCAGGAAAAGCCUCUAAGCAUCAGGUAACAUCAAAUCGUACCCCAAACCGACACAGGUGGUCAGGUAGAGAAUACCAAGGCGCUUGAGAGAACUCGGGUGAAGGAACUAGGCAAAAUGGUGCCGUAACUUCGGGAGAAGGCACGCUGAUAUGUAGGUGAAGUCCCUCGCGGAUGGAGCUGAAAUCAGUCGAAGAUACCAGCUGGCUGCAACUGUUUAUUAAAAACACAGCACUGUGCAAACACGAAAGUGGACGUAUACGGUGUGACGCCUGCCCGGUGCCGGAAGGUUAAUUGAUGGGGUUAGCGGUAACGCGAAGCUCUUGAUCGAAGCCCCGGUAAACGGCGGCCGUAACUAUAACGGUCCUAAGGUAGCGAAAUUCCUUGUCGGGUAAGUUCCGACCUGCACGAAUGGCGUAAUGAUGGCCAGGCUGUCUCCACCCGAGACUCAGUGAAAUUGAACUCGCUGUGAAGAUGCAGUGUACCCGCGGCAAGACGGAAAGACCCCGUGAACCUUUACUAUAGCUUGACACUGAACAUUGAGCCUUGAUGUGUAGGAUAGGUGGGAGGCUUUGAAGUGUGGACGCCAGUCUGCAUGGAGCCGACCUUGAAAUACCACCCUUUAAUGUUUGAUGUUCUAACGUUGACCCGUAAUCCGGGUUGCGGACAGUGUCUGGUGGGUAGUUUGACUGGGGCGGUCUCCUCCUAAAGAGUAACGGAGGAGCACGAAGGUUGGCUAAUCCUGGUCGGACAUCAGGAGGUUAGUGCAAUGGCAUAAGCCAGCUUGACUGCGAGCGUGACGGCGCGAGCAGGUGCGAAAGCAGGUCAUAGUGAUCCGGUGGUUCUGAAUGGAAGGGCCAUCGCUCAACGGAUAAAAGGUACUCCGGGGAUAACAGGCUGAUACCGCCCAAGAGUUCAUAUCGACGGCGGUGUUUGGCACCUCGAUGUCGGCUCAUCACAUCCUGGGGCUGAAGUAGGUCCCAAGGGUAUGGCUGUUCGCCAUUUAAAGUGGUACGCGAGCUGGGUUUAGAACGUCGUGAGACAGUUCGGUCCCUAUCUGCCGUGGGCGCUGGAGAACUGAGGGGGGCUGCUCCUAGUACGAGAGGACCGGAGUGGACGCAUCACUGGUGUUCGGGUUGUCAUGCCAAUGGCACUGCCCGGUAGCUAAAUGCGGAAGAGAUAAGUGCUGAAAGCAUCUAAGCACGAAACUUGCCCCGAGAUGAGUUCUCCCUGACCCUUUAAGGGUCCUGAAGGAACGUUGAAGACGACGACGUUGAUAGGCCGGGUGUGUAAGCGCAGCGAUGCGUUGAGCUAACCGGUACUAAUGAACCGUGAGGCUUAACCUU